GGGUGAUGGGAUGAGAGAGGGUAGAGGGUGGUGGAGGGGUGAUGGGAUGAGAGAGGGUAGAGGUGUGGAGGGGGGUGAUGGGAUGAGAGAGGGUAGAGGUGUGUGGAGGGGUGAUGGGGUGAGAGAGGGUAGAGGUGUGUGGAGGGGUGAUGGGAUGAGAGAGGGUAGAGGUUUGUGGAGGGGUGAUGGGGUGAGAGAGGGUAGAGGUGUGUGGAGGGGUGAUGGGAUGAGAGAGCGUAGAGGUGUGUGGAGGGGUGAUGGGAUGAGAGAGGGUAGAGGUGUGUGUAGGGGUGAUGGGAUGAGAGAGGGUAGAGGUGUAUGG
Long non-coding RNA from Oncorhynchus tshawytscha (Chinook salmon), 322 nucleotides. Lineage: Eukaryota; Metazoa; Chordata; Actinopteri; Salmoniformes; Salmonidae. The record is from Ensembl.